This 2259-nucleotide ribosomal RNA is filed under the name Acinetobacter baumannii. RNAcentral's name for it is "bacterial SSU rRNA". The stretch from base 728 to 2259 matches the Rfam family "Bacterial small subunit ribosomal RNA". Lineage: Bacteria; Pseudomonadati; Pseudomonadota; Gammaproteobacteria; Moraxellales; Moraxellaceae. The record is from RNAcentral.
AGAGUUUGAUCAUGGCUCAGAUUGAACGCUGGCGGCAGGCUUAACACAUGCAAGUCGAGCGGGGGAAGGUAGCUUGCUACCGGACCUAGCGGCGGACGGGUGAGUAAUGCUUAGGAAUCUGCCUAUUAGUGGGGGACAACAUCUCGAAAGGGAUGCUAAUACCGCAUACGUCCUACGGGAGAAAGCAGGGGAUCUUCGGACCUUGCGCUAAUAGAUGAGCCUAAGUCGGAUUAGCUAGUUGGUGGGGUAAAGGCCUACCAAGGCGACGAUCUGUAGCGGGUCUGAGAGGAUGAUCCGCCACACUGGGACUGAGACACGGCCCAGACUNNNNNNNNNNNNNNAUGGUCUAUAAUGCACAUCCAUCGGCGGUGAUGCAGAUAGAAACUUGUUGAAAAACAGUUACUUGUGAUUAGAUUGGUUGCUUUAAGUGAUGAAUUUGAUGAUGAGGUAGUUUGGAGAAUAAGUUUUAAAAAUAUCGAAAUUACCUGUUGACUUUUAAGAGAUUAAGAGUAAUAUAGCCGACCUAGCUUGCUGGUGACGAACCAGUAAGAAGAUCAUUAAGAGAAUUGAAGAACAACUUGUGUGGAUUUUUACUGAUUGAUUAAUCGAAAUAAUUUUCAUUGAUUGAUUGGUUUAAAUUACUCGAAGUUUAUUUGAGCGAAAUUUAAGUCAGUAAUUGAUGAGCCAGAAUUGGCACCUUGUCUAUAAAUAAGGUGCAAAAUGAUUUUAACUGAAGAGUUUGAUCAUGGCUCAGAUUGAACGCUGGCGGCAGGCUUAACACAUGCAAGUCGAGCGGGGGAAGGUAGCUUGCUACCGGACCUAGCGGCGGACGGGUGAGUAAUGCUUAGGAAUCUGCCUAUUAGUGGGGGACAACAUCUCGAAAGGGAUGCUAAUACCGCAUACGUCCUACGGGAGAAAGCAGGGGAUCUUCGGACCUUGCGCUAAUAGAUGAGCCUAAGUCGGAUUAGCUAGUUGGUGGGGUAAAGGCCUACCAAGGCGACGAUCUGUAGCGGGUCUGAGAGGAUGAUCCGCCACACUGGGACUGAGACACGGCCCAGACUCCUACGGGAGGCAGCAGUGGGGAAUAUUGGACAAUGGGGGGAACCCUGAUCCAGCCAUGCCGCGUGUGUGAAGAAGGCCUUAUGGUUGUAAAGCACUUUAAGCGAGGAGGAGGCUACUUUAGUUAAUACCUAGGGAUAGUGGACGUUACUCGCAGAAUAAGCACCGGCUAACUCUGUGCCAGCAGCCGCGGUAAUACAGAGGGUGCGAGCGUUAAUCGGAUUUACUGGGCGUAAAGCGUGCGUAGGCGGCUUAUUAAGUCGGAUGUGAAAUCCCCGAGCUUAACUUGGGAAUUGCAUUCGAUACUGGUGAGCUAGAGUAUGGGAGAGGAUGGUAGAAUUCCAGGUGUAGCGGUGAAAUGCGUAGAGAUCUGGAGGAAUACCGAUGGCGAAGGCAGCCAUCUGGCCUAAUACUGACGCUGAGGUACGAAAGCAUGGGGAGCAAACAGGAUUAGAUACCCUGGUAGUCCAUGCCGUAAACGAUGUCUACUAGCCGUUGGGGCCUUUGAGGCUUUAGUGGCGCAGCUAACGCGAUAAGUAGACCGCCUGGGGAGUACGGUCGCAAGACUAAAACUCAAAUGAAUUGACGGGGGCCCGCACAAGCGGUGGAGCAUGUGGUUUAAUUCGAUGCAACGCGAAGAACCUUACCUGGCCUUGACAUACUAGAAACUUUCCAGAGAUGGAUUGGUGCCUUCGGGAAUCUAGAUACAGGUGCUGCAUGGCUGUCGUCAGCUCGUGUCGUGAGAUGUUGGGUUAAGUCCCGCAACGAGCGCAACCCUUUUCCUUACUUGCCAGCAUUUCGGAUGGGAACUUUAAGGAUACUGCCAGUGACAAACUGGAGGAAGGCGGGGACGACGUCAAGUCAUCAUGGCCCUUACGGCCAGGGCUACACACGUGCUACAAUGGUCGGUACAAAGGGUUGCUACACAGCGAUGUGAUGCUAAUCUCAAAAAGCCGAUCGUAGUCCGGAUUGGAGUCUGCAACUCGACUCCAUGAAGUCGGAAUCGCUAGUAAUCGCGGAUCAGAAUGCCGCGGUGAAUACGUUCCCGGGCCUUGUACACACCGCCCGUCACACCAUGGGAGUUUGUUGCACCAGAAGUAGCUAGCCUAACUGCAAAGAGGGCGGUUACCACGGUGUGGCCGAUGACUGGGGUGAAGUCGUAACAAGGUAGCCGUAGGGGAACCUGCGGCUGGAUCACCU